GCAAUUUUCCAAAGGGAAGAAAUAUCAUUGCAUGCAGUUCUAAAAAGAAGUACUAAUUAAUUAUGGGUUAAAUAAAAAAUAAGAAAAAGAAAUUGACAUGCAAAUUAAAAACUAAAAACCCCAAAGCAUAGAUGUUAUGAUGAUGAGAACGAGUUGGUCAAAAUCGUUAUACAACAUUAUGAGAAUCCAUCAUAUCAUAAUCCAUUCAUCAUCCCUAGAAUCUUCACAACUUGUGCUCUCCUCUUUUGUAGUUUUAGUAAAAUUUUCAGUAUAAACAUCAUCAUCACUUUCCUUGGUAUCCUCCCGAUCAUCUUCUGAUGGUAUAUCAAGUUUAUAGGCAUGUCUAUACUCUGCCACGGCUGAAGAAGAGUAGGUGCCAAAUGAGUCAUUUUUGCUGAUGGAAGUAGCUUCAGAAAGAGCCUUCUCGGCAAGCUCUUCCCUCCUCCCAAGCUCCUCUCUAAGGCGAGCAAGAUCUAACCGUGUUUCUAUAUCCUGAAGACGAGCCUUCUCGGCAAGCUCUUUCUUCCACGACUCCUCUAUAAGGCGAGCACAAUAUACCCGUGUUUCUAUAUCGUGACGACGAGCCUUCAGCUCAGACUCAGAGAAAAGUUCCCUGGCAGGACGACUCUUAGCGUCAUGAGUAAUUAAGAUCGUAAUCGCCUCACUGUCCUCCUUCGUGCACGAAGGAAUCUCUCUCUCAUCUUUCUUCAAAGGCUUUGUGGCCUUGAACACAUACUCGCACAUGGAAGUCAAAAAAGAGAAAAGCGAAGUAAUCACGGACUCCCCCAUGGUGAAGAUAAACUGAGAAGAACGACGCUAGUUUUUAGACUUUUAGUAUAUAAAAAA
This 846-nucleotide long non-coding RNA is filed under the name Capsella grandiflora. RNAcentral's name for it is "long non-coding RNA (CGRA_LNC001392)". Lineage: Eukaryota; Viridiplantae; Streptophyta; Magnoliopsida; Brassicales; Brassicaceae. The record is from RNAcentral.